AUAACAAAAAUGUACUCGUUAUUCUUUUAUUUUCCUAAGUGCAUAAAUAAGUAAAAAAGUUGUAAUUUUAGAGCAUUAUUCUAACUUGACAAUCAACCUAGUAUCCAAACAUUAAACAGAUUUUUCUUUUCACGUGAAUAUUCUAUGAGUAAGGAUUAAGAUGUCUGCAAAAGAUAAGCGAAAGCGCUGAAAGGAAUCAUUGCACGCGGUGAACUUAUUAUUAAGUGUCUCGAACCGGAAUGAGCAAUUUGAAAAGUCUGAAAGAAAGAUGAGAACGAGAGAAAGACCAAAAGAUUAUCCGUGCAAUCCCGACGAUUCUCGAUAGGACUUAGAACGAUCCUUAUAACGUCGAAUGAAAAGAUAAAUGAACUUCUAGGGAAGGAAGAUGAAAUAGUGAAACGAUUGGACGGCAGUCUAGCGAGUGAAAUCAAUGAGCUAAUAGGCUUGCUUGGAGUUAAACAGCUAAUCAAGUCGGUAUUAUUGGAUCAUGGAAGCCAAGCAUCGCGUUCGCAUCCCUCGCACAUUGCAAACGUCACCCCACACAAAUGCGUCGUAGCACACUUAGUCGUGACUGGCACUGCAAGGGUUGAACGCCGCGGGGCCUGCACGACCUGUGUUUUAAUUAGAGGCGAAUUCCGUCGCGCGGGACAACUCGAGAGAACGGCGUCUCUUACGUAAUAUAUUUCAGGCGGUAAACGCUAUUUAUCUGCAAAAUGAAUGAUUUCGAUUAUGGAAACCAGCGAGAAAGUAACGAUUGGCAUGUCCAAAAUGAACAAAGAGAAAUGAAAAAUCGGGGUAAGACUGAGAACACAGGAUCUGUAACUCUUAAACGAUUGGACAGCAUUCAGGAUCCAGGAAAAAGAUACGCACUGAAGGAUUACAUUGGUAGCGGUGUAUACGGCAAUGUUUACGAAGGAAUUGAUCAGCAAGCUGGAAAUAAGAAGGUUGCCAUUAAAAUUCAAACUCUCACGCCGGAAACGCAAUCCCUGAUUGUGGAAGAAUAUCGUAUUCUUCGUGAUUUCGCCGGUCACCCAAAUCUACCAGAUUUCUACGGGGUAUAUCGCAAACGAUCGGCGAAGAAAUCUGAUUACGAUGAAAUGUGGUUCAUCAUGGAGCUCUGCGAAGGUGGAACAGUCAUGGAUCUCAUUCAUGGCAUAAUUGCAAGCGACAAAAGAAUACAGGAAGAACAUAUUGCCUUCAUCUUAAGAGAAGUGAUCAAAGCCCUGAUCCACUUGCAUGAACACAACAUAAUUCACAGAGACAUCCGCGGCAACAAUAUUGUUCUAACGAAGGAAGGCGAAGUGAAACUAGUGGACUUUGGACUGUCGAGAACAAUGAAGGACGAACUCGAGAAAAGACACAGCUACAUAGGCUCGCCGUCCUGGAUGGCGCCGGAAAUGAUCGGCAGCAAGGAUAGCGAAGCCGACAAUGGAUACGACAGCCGGGUCGACGUAUGGGCGAUCGGCAUCACGGCGAUAGAGCUGGCCGAUGGCAAAGCGCCGUUCGAGGACAUGCAUCCGACUCGUGCGCUCUUCCAGAUCGUUCGGAAUCCACCCCCGACUCUUUACCGACCCGCCAACUGGUCGAAGAAUUUCAAUGACUUCAUUUCGGAAUGCCUCGAAAAGAAUCCCGAGAACAGACCGUACAUGAUGGAGAUCAUCGAGCAUCCCUUUCUGUCGGAGCUACCUGAAAACGAUUAUACCUUGACGCAAGAGAUCAAAACGCUAGCAAUGGAUCUGUCGGAAAAGGGCAGAAAACAUAGAAAAGCCGAAUCAGUAGUUCGUAAAGGUUUUCUAAAGACUCGUCAGGAAGAAUCAGCGAAGCAAAUGUUCAUGGAGGAUUUAGCGGCACUAGAUGACUUGACUGAGGACGUGAUCCUGGACGAACUUUGGGAGAGAUUAAGACGCGGUGAAUAUCACACGUUUAUCGGCGACAUCUUACUGAUACUCAACCCGAACGAAGAGCACGAUAUUUACAAUUUUCACCAUCACGCAAAGUAUCAAUGUAAAUCGCGAUCGGAUAAUGCCCCUCAUAUCUAUUCCGUGGCGGAUAGCGCGUUUCAAGAUGUUAUGCUAAACGAAGAAUCUCAGCACAUUUUGUUGGCCGGUGAAAGUAAUUCCGGAAAAACGACAAAUAUGCUGCAUCUAGUGGAGCAUCUUAUGUUCCUCGGAAAAGGUCUGCACGAUACCGGAGUGAAAGUGCUAAAAGCUAUAAAAAUUAUUCAUGCUUUUACAAACGCGGCGACACCGCUAAAUGCUAAUUCCACCAGAUGUAUAUUGCAAACACAGACGACUUUCGGGUCAACCGGCAAAGUAUCGGGUGCAAUAUUCUGGCUAUAUCAGUUGGAAAAAUGGCGCGUUUCAACUCGCGACAGAAAUCAAUCAAACUUCCAUAUUUUUUAUUAUUUUUAUGAUGGUUUUGAAGCAUCAGAAAAUUUAAAAACAUUUUUCCUACCAAGCGGGAGAAAACUUCGAUAUCUCAGAAUAACCGACAAAAGUACUGAAAAGAAACGAGCGUUCAAAGUGAGAAACGAUCCGCAAAACAACGCGAUUAAACUCAAAGAACUUAGGGAAUGUUUCAAGUUUAUGGAUAUGGAGGAGCAUUGUGAAAUUAUUUGGAAAAUUCUCGCAGCUGUACUGAUACUCGGAGAGGUUCGGUUCGUUGAAGGCAAUAACGGGGAAGCCGAGUUGUAUAAUGACGAAAUUGCUAACAAAGUGGCGGAACUUCUCGGUUUAGACGCGAAGAAAUUUACUUGGGCUCUCAUUAAUUACUGCUUGAUCGUGAAGGGAUCAGCGACACGUAGGAAACAUACUUGCGAAGAAGCGAAAGAGGCACGGGAUGUCUUGGCAAACACUCUUUACCAGCGUUUAGUAGACUGGAUAAUUAAUAUGAUCAAUUAUAAGCUUUCAAUGACACGUGGUCUUUAUGGUGAUAAAUAUUCUAUCAGCAUUUUUGAUCACUUUGGACUUGAAUGUUUCUCAGCAAACAGGCUGGAACAAUUACUAGUGAAUACAAUAAAUGAGCAAAUGCAAUAUUAUUAUAAUCAAAGAGUAUUCGGCUGGGAAAUGCAAGAACAAGAAGAGGAUGAUAUACCUGUGCAACGAUUACGCUUUUAUGAUAAUAAGGAAGCGAUUGAUCAACUAAUGAGCAAAGAAGAUGGCCUCUUUCAUAUCAUUGACGACGCUUCGCGACAAAUGCAAGACGCUCAGUAUAUUCUCGAGAGGAUUAAAGAACAUAAACGUGGCAUUUAUGUGAAACCGGUGAGUUCACACGAAUUCACGGUCGCACAUUAUACCGGUAAGCUGAUAUACGACGCCAGCGAAAUUGCUACGAAAAAUCGAGACUUUGUGCCGCCGGAGAUGAUCGGCACGAUGAGAUUUUCAUCGCACGAUACAGUCAAACAGAUGUUCAUCAACAAGCUAACCAAAUCAGGAAAUCUGACGAUCGUUCGGGAAGAUUGUUGUCUCGCGGCGAAGGAAACGACGAAAAAAAAGUGGAGUGCUCUCAUGCAGGAAUCUUCUACGUUUCGAAAAUAUAACACUGCGUCCAGAGGACAAUACUCGCAGUCACGCAAGAUGCGAACGUGCUCGUCGACAUUCAAAGCGACGAGUCUCGAAAUUUUGAAAAAUCUCGCGACAGGCACGGGAAAUAGCGGCACGCAUUUUGUUAGGUGCAUACGCUCCGACCUCGAGGAUGUUCCUCGCAGCUUUUACCGGGAAGUCGUCAGACAGCAAAUCAGAGCGCUAGCAGUUCUUGAUACAGCGAAAGCCAGACGACUCGGGUACCCGUAUAGAAUACCCUUCCAAGAAUUUCUUCGAAGAUACAAGUUUCUAGCCUUCGAUUUUGACGAGACAGUAGAGAUGACGAAAGAUAAUUGCAGACUACUUUUAAUCAGAUUAAAAAUGGAAGGCUGGAUUAUCGGCAAGACCAAAGUCUUCUUGAAAUAUUACAAUCAGGAAUAUCUAUCGCGUUUAUAUGAAACUCAAGUAAAAAAAAUUAUAAAAGUGCAGUGCAUGAUGCGUGCCUUUCUAGCACGCAAAAACAUUGCUUCGAAGAUCACUCAUAUCAAAAAAGAAAUGAUCAAGAAAGCAUCAAUUAAGAAGAAUAAUUCAAUUACUGAGGAAGAAGCGGCAUUAAUGAUACAAAAAACAUACAGAGGACAUAUGGUAAGAAAGGGAACCGAAUCUUUACACAAGGAAGAGAUGAGCGAAGAAACGAAGAAUUUUAUCAAGUUGUAUUGCAACAAAUGGAGAUUAAAAAGCAUGUUCCAAGUCCUUUUACAGUACCGUGCAGCCCGAUAUCAAGAUUUUGUCCAAUUAUCGCAACAGGUCCAUUUAUACAGUCAAUCAAUAGUAGCAGCUUUGGAGAAAAUAAAUGAAAAUGUGUUUCUUGAGAAAAUCGACCCAAAUGCCAAAAUAAAUACCUACAUAAGUGAAAUAAGACCACCUCAAGUCUACAAGCUACCUUUCAAUAUACAACAAGAGUUUCCGUAUUUCGAUAUGAAUUAUGUAAAUGAUCCUUCAAAUAUAAAAAUUAAACGUGCAGGUAGAUCUAUAUCAUCUACAUUAAGUGACGACGAAUCCUGGGAUGCGCCGUUACGUAGACAAACCGUGCCCUGGGCCAACAAAAAUGUUCACACCAGAGACGUCGAGGUUCAAACAACAAACUCGCCACAUCACGUGUCCCUUCAUCGUUCAACUGUCAAUAAUGAGCAAAGUUUAAUCAACACUCCAUUCACCAGGGAUCCAAGCAUUCCGAUUCAGUGUCCACCGGAGGAGCCAUCCCGCCGUAGCGUUCCUGAUUUUCAAUCAAAUAAACAUGACACCACACAAUUCUCUGGAUUCUGUACUCCUUAUUCUGUAAGCAAUGAAAAAAGUAUCAUCGCCACCAGCCGCAUCCAAUCAAACGCAAUCCUCGUCAAUGUGCAACUACGAGUUAAAUAUUCAAAACAGAAAUAAUACAGAACGGAAGUUUGAGAACAGAGUUAAUAAUCAUAUUAACAGUGACAAUCGCGUAAACCCUAUCAAAGAAUUGGAAAUGAUCGGACGUAGGAACAAUAACGAUGAAAAUGAUGAUACACCUCCAUUCAAUUUUCA
Molecule: unclassified non-coding RNA, 5096 nt
Filed under: Monomorium pharaonis (pharaoh ant)
Lineage: Eukaryota; Metazoa; Arthropoda; Insecta; Hymenoptera; Formicidae
Description: neither inactivation nor afterpotential protein C, transcript variant X5
Source: RNAcentral